This 203-nucleotide ribosomal RNA is filed under the name Staphylococcus warneri. RNAcentral's name for it is "partial 23S ribosomal RNA". It matches the Rfam family "Bacterial large subunit ribosomal RNA", at positions 848 to 1049 of the family's 2925-position model. Lineage: Bacteria; Bacillati; Bacillota; Bacilli; Caryophanales; Staphylococcaceae. The record is from RNAcentral.
GCUGGUUCUCUCCGAAAUAGCUUUAGGGCUAGCCUCAAGUGAUGAUUAUUGGAGGUAGAGCACUGUUUGGACGAGGGGCCCUUCUCGGGUUACCGAAUUCAGACAAACUCCGAAUGCCAAUUAAUUUAACUUGGGAGUCAGAACAUGGGUGAUAAGGUCCGUGUUCGAAAGGGAAACAGCCCAGACCACCAGCUAAGGUCCCA